RNAcentral lists this unclassified non-coding RNA (312 nucleotides) under plant metagenome. RNAcentral describes it as "partial contains 5.8S ribosomal RNA, internal transcribed spacer 2, and large subunit ribosomal RNA". The stretch from base 1 to 105 matches the Rfam family "5.8S ribosomal RNA", at positions 50 to 154 of the family's 154-position model. The record is from RNAcentral.
GAAAUGCGAUAAGUAAUGUGAAUUGCAGAAUUCAGUGAAUCAUCGAAUCUUUGAACGCACAUUGCGCCCUCUGGCAUUCCGGGGGGGAUGCCUGUCCGAGCGUCAUUACGCACCCUCAAGCCCGGCUUGUGUGAUGGGCCCCGGCGUCUCGUUCGCGAGACGGGCCCGAAAGGCAGCGGCGGCGUCGACCCGAUGAGCCCGAGCGUAUGGGGACUUCUGUCACACGUUCGCGGUGCGGACCGGCGCCUGCUUGACUUUUCUGAUUAUCCAGGUUGACCUCGGAUCAGGUAGGGAUACCCGCUGAACUUAAGC